GGGGACAGAAGAACAGAACAGGUGAUUGAAAGGGGAAAGAAGAGGUGAGCAAAUGAGGGAAAGAAGGAAAGAAGAGGGGAACGCGUGAGGGAUUUGUAAAGUAAAAGGGUAUACGUGAGGUAGGAGGAGUGAAGUGAGGGAUGGGGAAAGAAGAGUGAAACAAGUGAGGAAUAGGAGGUAGAUAGUAGGAAGGAAGGAGGUAGAGGUAGGAAGAAAAUGAUAACAAUCAAGGGAAGGGGAAACAAGAAGAGGGUAACAAUUAAAGAAAAAGAGGGCUAUGGGAGAGGGGCAAAAUUGGGGUAAGGGGAAAGUGAGAACAUG
Pelobates cultripes (western spadefoot toad) is the source of this 321-nucleotide non-coding RNA. NCBI's taxonomy places the organism in Eukaryota, Metazoa, Chordata, Amphibia, Anura, Pelobatidae. The record is from the annotation of a GenBank genome assembly.